Molecule: unclassified non-coding RNA, 331 nt
Filed under: soil metagenome
Description: partial contains 5.8S ribosomal RNA, internal transcribed spacer 2, and large subunit ribosomal RNA
Rfam family: 5.8S ribosomal RNA (bases 1-120)
Source: RNAcentral
GAUGAAGAACGCAGCGAAAUGCGAUAAGUAAUGUGAAUUGCAGAAUUCAGUGAAUCAUCGAAUCUUUGAACGCACAUUGCGCCCCCUGGUAUUUCGGGGGGCAUGCCUGUUCGAGCGUCAUUUCACCACUCAAGCCUCGCUUGGUAUUGGGCAACGCGGUCCGCCGCGUGCCUCAAAUCGACCGGCUGGGUCUUCUGUCCCCUAAGCGUUGUGGAAACUAUUCGCUAAAGGGUGUUCGGGAGGCUACGCCGUAAAACAACCCCAUUUCUAAGGUUGACCUCGGAUCAGGUAGGGAUACCCGCUGAACUUAAGCAUAUCAAUAAGCGGAGGA